This 974-nucleotide ribosomal RNA is filed under the name Salmonella enterica subsp. enterica serovar Kentucky. RNAcentral describes it as "bacterial LSU rRNA". It matches the Rfam family "Bacterial large subunit ribosomal RNA", at positions 593 to 1571 of the family's 2925-position model. The record is from RNAcentral. Lineage: Bacteria; Pseudomonadati; Pseudomonadota; Gammaproteobacteria; Enterobacterales; Enterobacteriaceae.
GUGACUGCGUACCUUUUGUAUAAUGGGUCAGCGACUUAUAUUCUGUAGCAAGGUUAACCGAAUAGGGGAGCCGUAGGGAAACCGAGUCUUAACCGGGCGUUAAGUUGCAGGGUAUAGACCCGAAACCCGGUGAUCUAGCCAUGGGCAGGUUGAAGGUUGGGUAACACUAACUGGAGGACCGAACCGACUAAUGUUGAAAAAUUAGCGGAUGACCUGUGGCUGGGGGUGAAAGGCCAAUCAAACCGGGAGAUAGCUGGUUCUCCCCGAAAGCUAUUUAGGUAGCGCCUCGUGAACUCAUCUCCGGGGGUAGAGCACUGUUUCGGCUAGGGGGCCAUCCCGGCUUACCAACCCGAUGCAAACUGCGAAUACCGGAGAAUGUUAUCACGGGAGACACACGGCGGGUGCUAACGUCCGUCGUGAAGAGGGAAACAACCCAGACCGCCAGCUAAGGUCCCAAAGUCAUGGUUAAGUGGGAAACGAUGUGGGAAGGCCCAGACAGCCAGGAUGUUGGCUUAGAAGCAGCCAUCAUUUAAAGAAAGCGUAAUAGCUCACUGGUCGAGUCGGCCUGCGCGGAAGAUGUAACGGGGCUAAACCAUGCACCGAAGCUGCGGCAGCGACACUGUGUGUUGUUGGGUAGGGGAGCGUUCUGUAAGCCUGCGAAGGUGUCCCGUGAGGGAUGCUGGAGGUAUCAGAAGUGCGAAUGCUGACAUAAGUAACGAUAAAGCGGGUGAAAAGCCCGCUCGCCGGAAGACCAAGGGUUCCUGUCCAACGUUAAUCGGGGCAGGGUGAGUCGACCCCUAAGGCGAGGCCGAAAGGCGUAGUCGAUGGGAAACGGGUUAAUAUUCCCGUACUUGGUGUUACUGCGAAGGGGGGACGGAGAAGGCUAUGUUGGCCGGGCGACGGUUGUCCCGGUUUAAGCGUGUAGGCUGGUUUUCCAGGCAAAUCCGGAAAAUCAAGGCUGAGGCGUGAUGACG